This 468-nucleotide ribosomal RNA is filed under the name uncultured bacterium. Its description in RNAcentral is "partial 16S ribosomal RNA". It matches the Rfam family "Bacterial small subunit ribosomal RNA", at positions 28 to 507 of the family's 1533-position model. The record is from RNAcentral.
GACGAACGCUGGCGGCGUGCUUAACACAUGCAAGUCGAACGGAAAGGCCCUGCUUUUGUGGGGUGCUCGAGUGGCGAACGGGUGAGUAACACGUGAGUAACCUGCCCUUUACUUUGGGAUAACUUCAGGAAACUGGGGCUAAUACCGGAUAGGAGCUCCUGCUGCAUGGUGGGGGUUGGAAAGUUUCGGCGGUUGGGGAUGGACUCGCGGCUUAUCAGCUUGUUGGUGGGGUAGUGGCUUACCAAGGCUUUGACGGGUAGCCGGCCUGAGAGGGUGACCGGCCACAUUGGGAAUGAGAUACGGCCCAGACUCCUACGGGAGGCAGCAGUGGGGAAUAUUGCACAAUGGGCGGAAGCCUGAUGCAGCAACGCCGCGUGCGGGAUGACGGCCUUAGGGUUGUAAACCGCUUUCGCCUGUGACGAAGCGUGAGUGACGGUAAUGGGUAAAGAAGCACCGGCUAACUACGUG